GUAAUCAAAAGCUUAUUAAUUGUAAGCCAGCAUGAAAGAAUGAACCCAAAUUCACUUUUUUUUUUCCAAUAAAGAAAUUAAAGAAAUUUAAAAAAUAAUUUCCAAUUCAUUAGACGAGAAGACCCUAAAAACUAAUUAAAAAAAUAAUUUUUUGGGGAAAAUAAAAAUUAUUAAUCUAUUUAUUUAAUAUUAUAAAAACUAAAAAAUAAGUUACUUUAGGGAUAACAGAACAAUUUUCAAAAAAAGAUCUGAUUGAAUUGAAAAAUUGUGACCUCGAUGUUGGAUUCUUAAAUCUCUAAGCCGCAGUAGGCUUGGAAGACUAGACUGUUCGUUUUUUAAAUUAAA
RNAcentral lists this ribosomal RNA (345 nucleotides) under Abacarus lolii. RNAcentral describes it as "partial 16S ribosomal RNA". The record is from RNAcentral. Lineage: Eukaryota; Metazoa; Arthropoda; Arachnida; Trombidiformes; Eriophyidae.